This 253-nucleotide ribosomal RNA is filed under the name uncultured bacterium. RNAcentral's name for it is "partial 16S ribosomal RNA". It matches the Rfam family "Bacterial small subunit ribosomal RNA", at positions 524 to 776 of the family's 1533-position model. The record is from RNAcentral.
UACGUAGGGUGCAAGCGUUGUCCGGAAUUAUUGGGCGUAAAGAGCUCGUAGGCGGUUCGUCGCGUCGGCUGUGAAAUCCCGAGGCUCAACCUCGGGUCUGCAGUCGAUACGGGCGGACUGGAGUUCGGCAGGGGAGACUGGAAUUCCUGGUGUAGCGGUGAAAUGCGCAGAUAUCAGGAGGAACACCCGUGGCGAAGGCGGCUCUCUGGGACGGUACUGACGCUGAGACGCGAAAGCGUGGGGAGCGAACGGG